This is a non-coding RNA of Aegilops tauschii subsp. strangulata, 2553 nucleotides long. Lineage: Eukaryota; Viridiplantae; Streptophyta; Magnoliopsida; Poales; Poaceae. The record is from RefSeq and is a predicted model, not a curated record.
CUCCGCCUCCCUAACCCUAGCAAGAUCUCGGCGGCGACAAGCCUAGGGGAGAACGCUGAGGAGGGAGAAAUUCUCUGGGAAGAAGAAGAAGCCAUGAUAGGCAGGCAGGAGAGUUGGAGACCAAGACCGAGGAGAGGGGCCGUUCCAAGAGGAAGAGGUAAUUUAUAUGGCAGGUAUGAGAAUUUUGGGAGAGGAUUUAUUAGGCAGGAUGAGAGAGAGCAGGACGGAUAUGGAUGGAGAAACAGAGAGGGAAAUUUCAGAGGGGGAUCAUGGACAAAUAGCAAUCGGUCUGGUGGGGAAGGAACCUCGACGGGAAAUGGCAGAGAUGGAGACAGCAAGCUAGGCAGGUUUACUUCAGACAUAAAUGGGAACCAGCAAGAGAGAUCUCAAGUUGGGAUGGGUGAGACUGGGCCUGGAAGUGGGUUUGUGGUUAGUAAUCCUAAUAUGCAGCAGAUGGGAAUGCAGGGAGGGCCUAUCCAGAUGGCAGGGGGCUUCCCAAUGAUAAGCAAUAGCAACUUACCAUAGAUGGUGCCGUUUGGAAUGGGGCUUGGGCAAUUUGGCUUCAUACCAUAAGACCAAAUGGCACAUCAAUACCAGUACCUGCUCUCAAAUCUGCCAAAACAGGAGAUUUUGCGGACACAAGGGGGAGCAAAGGUGGAAGGGGCCAAAGAGGCAACAAAAAAGAAGGAAGCAGGAAAUACCAAAGAGCUUUUCUGUGCCAAAUGCAAAGAACAGGGACAUAUGAAGAGUGACUGCAAAAACAAGGUGUUCUGUGUGGUUUGUCAAAGGCCAUCUCACAAUACUGAGGAAUGCACUAUGUUAAGGCAAGCUAAACCAGUUGCUAAGUAUGUUGGGUAUGGAGCUAGGGGUUUGGGGUGUCUUCUGGUUCAGAACACAAAGGACAUUGUAGCUUCUGAACACAUAAAUCAUAUGGCCUUGGUUACUGUGCAUGCUGGACAGCUGAAUGAAACCACUGUGGCCUAUGGAUUCAACAAGAUGUUUGAUUAGGGGUGGACAUGGAGAGCCAAAUUUCAGAGUCCCAAAACCUUUCUUAUGAGAUUUCCCAAUAAGGCCAAGUUGGUGGAGCUUAAAAACUUUGGUAAAUUCACUCUACUUGGCACAGGGGCUAUGGUGGAAGUGGACUUUUGGAGUCCAGAUGAUAAAGCAAAAGGAAAACUCCAUUCAGUUUGGAUAAAAAUGUGGGGAGUGCCUGAUACCCUGAGACAUUAUUUGGGUGUGUGUGAAAUUGGCUCAGCUUUGGGCCCUGUGGUUGAAGUGGAUGUAGAACAUAUUCAUUCCAAGGAAGAAAUUAGGGUGAAAGUGGGAGUGAGGGACUUGCACAAAAUCCCUGCUGGCACUGAGAUCACUACAAAAGACCUGCUGCUAUAUGACAUAGGCUUUGAGUUUGAUUCUUUUGCAGAACAGGGAUGGUACAAGUUUGAUGAGGGGAAUAAAAGGAAAUUUUUUGACUACCUUGAUCUGGAAAUCUUGAAAUACAGAGAGAGAAUGACAUGCAGAAGAAAAGCAAACAAUAUGAGACUUGGAAACCAAAUCUCAUUCUGGGGAGCCUGGGGCUAAAGCAGUAUGAACAAAUGGUCCUCAAUUCUGGUGACAUAGGCCAAACCAGUGAAGCAGCUAAAGAGAGAGUGGAGACAGUAACAAUAACAGAUACUCAGGGUGAAGAAGAAAGUCUGAGGAUGAGAUUACAAAAAGCAAAGGAAUUAGCUGCUAGGCAGAGUGCACAACUUAUGCUGGAAGAGAACAAAAGAAAAGAAAUGGAAAUCAUAGGAAAAACACUAGAAAAAGAGGUCACGAGACAACAUGAACUGUUGCAAAUUAACCUGAAAGUGAAUGAAGAUGUGAGGGGGGUCACAGUCAGGUGAAAAAACCACUGAAAAUGAAGAAGAGGAAGAAGCUAUUGAUGAGGAAGCAGCAACAGAAGACAAGCAGGUGGAUUGGGAAGACAUGACAGACCUUGAGCUGAUGAAUCAGGUAGUUGAUUUGGGUUAUAUGAAGCCAGUGGAUUAUACUGCUAGCCAGGAGAUAGAUUCCUUUGGGACAAAAGUUAAAAAAGCUGAGAAAGGGGAAUUGGAAUCCCAAGAGGAAGAAGAGCUAAGGAGAUGCACUAGAUUGAAAGGCAAGGAAGAUGGCAAUAUCACUGAGCUGGCCAAGGAGAGAGCAGCUCAGAAGAAUAACUAUGACAAACCCCGUAAGAAGUAAGAUGAUGGAGGCUGGAGUGAAACAAGUCGGCGAGGUGGCUGGAGAAGUGUUCAAAGCAGCUCAUGGAUGGCGCCUGAAGACUGGGAGAAUCAUGGGGUGACCACCUUUCAAUCCUCUAGUGCUGCGAAAACAGACGCUUCGACAACGACUUGCCUUCUUGUUUCAAGCUGCUCUCCGAUAUUUUGCUCCUGGGGCAGUAAUAAAAAUGUAGGGAUGGUAGACUACUAUGUUUAGAGGUGGCUGUGUGUGAUUCCCCUUGGAAUGUUUUUCUAUGUUUUGAGACGUGCUUUAAAGCUGAGGGCUGGGACUUGUUUUGAGCCCAGCCCUUGGAUC